AUGGCCUGGAUUCAUCUCCUCCUCUUUCUUCUCUCCCACUGGGCAGGUACUCUGUCACAGACUGUGCUGACUCAGCCCCCCUCCCUCUCUGCAUCGCUUGCAACCACUGCCAGGCUCACCUGUACUCUGUUCAGUGGCUUCAGUAUUGGGGACUACCACAUAUUUUGGUACCAGCAGAAGCCAGGGAGCCCUCCCCAGUAUCUUCUGAGGUUUAAAUCCGACUCAGACAAACACCAAGCAUCCGGGGUCUCCAGCCGCUUCUCUGGAUCCAAAGAUGCCUCAGCCAAUGCAGGGCUUCUGCUCAUCUCUGAGCUGCAGCCUGAGGAUGAGGUGGACUAUUACUGUCAUACUUCACACAGUGGGGCUUAUCACAGUGGCACUCACAGAAGAGGAAAGUUUUGA
Molecule: non-coding RNA, 402 nt
Organism: Suncus etruscus (white-toothed pygmy shrew)
Lineage: Eukaryota; Metazoa; Chordata; Mammalia; Eulipotyphla; Soricidae
Source: the annotation of a RefSeq genome assembly